GGUGCAUGGUUGUCGUCAGCUCGUGUCGUGAGAUGUUGGGUUAAGUCCCGCAACGAGCGCAACCCCUGCAUUCAGUUGCCAACGGUAAGGCCGGGCACUCUGGAUGGACUGCCGGCGACAAGCCGGAGGAGGUGGGAUGACGUCAGGUCAUCAUGGCCCUUAUGUCCAGGGCGACACACGUGCUACAAUGGCCGGCACAGCGGGAAGCGAGGGGGCGACCUUGAGCGGAUCCCUCAAAGCCGGUCUCAGUUCGGAUUGCAGUCUGCAACUCGACUGCAUGAAGUUGGAAUCGCUAGUAAUCGUGGAUCAGCCAAGCCGCGGUGAAUACGUUCCCGGGCCUU
Molecule: ribosomal RNA, 341 nt
Filed under: uncultured Thermovirga sp.
Lineage: Bacteria; Thermotogati; Synergistota; Synergistia; Synergistales; Thermovirgaceae
Description: bacterial SSU rRNA
Rfam family: Bacterial small subunit ribosomal RNA
Source: RNAcentral